CCGUAGGUCCAACACCGGAAACCGUAGGUUCUGAAACUCACCGGAAUAGGGCACAGACGCCGGAAAAUCACCCAAAACGUCCAUCAAGCAAAGAGAAAGUCAUCGGAUAACGCCAAAACUCUAGGUCCGAAAGUCGGAAAACCCUAGAAUUUGAAGAACUCGUCGGAAUAAAACCAGAAAUGCCAGAAAAUUACCCAAAGCAUCCACUGAUACAAGAUCGGAACCUGAAAGCUCCGAUUAUCCGCUCAACACUCAUUGAAAAGUCUCCAAACAGUAUCUCCUACUGAUAACCAUGAGAAAAGCUUCAGCAAAAGCUUCUAACAGGAUCGAUAACACGCAACUGAGAAGGAUCCGAAGAUCAUGUGGCUCUGAUACCAUGAAAACGUGAAGAUUAAGCUGAAGAACAUGGAGGAUAUAGUGAGUGAAAUAAGAGAGAGAAAGGGAGUAGUUGAGAGAAGCCUCCAGAAGAUCGAGA
Molecule: long non-coding RNA, 475 nt
Filed under: Nicotiana benthamiana
Lineage: Eukaryota; Viridiplantae; Streptophyta; Magnoliopsida; Solanales; Solanaceae
Description: long non-coding RNA (NBEN_LNC010888)
Source: RNAcentral